Molecule: small nuclear RNA, 110 nt
Filed under: Procavia capensis (Cape rock hyrax)
Lineage: Eukaryota; Metazoa; Chordata; Mammalia; Hyracoidea; Procaviidae
Source: RNAcentral
GUGCGCGCUUCUGCGGCACAUGUACUAGAAUUGCAACGAUACAGAUAAGCUUAUUAGCAUGGCCCCUAUGCAAGGAUGACAUGUAAAUGUUUGAAGGAUUCUCUAUGUUU